This is a long non-coding RNA of Anopheles gambiae (African malaria mosquito), 2814 nucleotides long. RefSeq lists it as uncharacterized. The record is from RefSeq and is a predicted model, not a curated record. The transcript has 2 exons. NCBI's taxonomy places the organism in Eukaryota, Metazoa, Arthropoda, Insecta, Diptera, Culicidae.
UCAAUCGAUUAAUCGUUAGUACAAGGCCGAAAAUACAUGGACCACAAUUUCGCGGCCACGGAAUUCCGCCUGCUGUCAGUCCAAAGUGAGUUGAUAGAUCAGGUGGGCUUAUCAAGUGCAAUUUGACGUAAAAACGAAAAUAGGAAGAAAACCUGGUUUGAAAGUUAGAUCCAUAACAAACUGGAUGCUUUGAUGAUUUUUAUAUGGACUCACUCCUAAGGGCUUGGUACUUGUUUCGACGCAGCGUAUCGCAACGCAUUGCGUGACGAACGCUGGUAUCUGUUCGUAGCGUUCUGCAUGGAUAUGUCAACACAUUUCACAAAGAAAAACAUCAACAAACAGCAAUAAUGCCUCUUAUUUAUAGGUUCUGAUGUGAUUAUAAUGUUAAAUUACAACUGUAAAAUCAUUUCCAGUUCUGCUCAAAACAGUGCAAAGCAUGUUUUCGCUUUAUUAUUGCACAUUGCAUACUGACCCGCACACACCUGUUUUGCAGCAAUUACGAAAUUACUUUCUCUACAUUUAUUUUGUUUUGUUAAUAAAAUUAUUUAGUAGUCCAAUUACACGUCCAAUUGCGCUCGAAACAAUUUAACGUGAAAAAAUAUCGAUUUUCACCCGAUAUGAUUGAACCAUUUUGACAGACGCAUCACGACGUGCGUCGAAAUAGAAAUUUUUCUACUUUGACGCUGCGUCCCCAUACAAAUCCCAUACAUUUUGGCAAAAUCGUAACGCAUUGCGUCGGAACAAGUACUCGAUAUCAAGAUGAGAUCAAUCGGUGGUCUGUUGAACAGGGCCAAAGGAGAUAUGCGCAGGCACUCUGAUAAAUUCAGUAUAAAAUCAUAUUUGGUUCGGUUGGUACAUUGCUCCUUACUUGCCAGAAUUAUUGAUCUGCCAGAAAGGAUUCAAUAAUUGUUGCCUAUGUAUCAGAUUCGGCGAGAGAAAUGAUCUUUUUUGGAAUAUAUAGUCUUCAAAUCUUCGUUUUAAUCCAUGAACAAGCCGUCAUGUUUUUUUGGCUUCUUUCUUCGUGCUAUGCCUGAGUAAAACCACAGACCAUUCCUACGAGAUAUCGUUUCAACUGCAUAGCAUACUAGAUUUUGUUAUGGAACAAACCGUCAAAUUGUGGUUCGGUAUUGGUGAGAAAGAACACCAUAAGCCCACCUGAUCAAGGUGUAUGUAUUUAGAAGGUUGAUUUUUAUCGCUUUUGAUGGGCGACAUUGUGGGAGACAUAUGUCAUAUCCCUGCAUACAAAAUUUCACUACCCCUCACCAGCCCUCCCCGAAUUUUUCAGCAAGCGGAAUUCCGCGACCGUGAAAUUCCUGUCCGUGUAUUUUCGGCCUAAUAUUAUUUUAAUCAAUAACUAUAGGUUGAACAACUGUUCAUGAACAAAAAUCAAUUUCGAAAAUAACACUAGACACUACAGAGCUGCACAAAAAAUUGGUGGCCCACUGCAACCAAUUUGUUCGCUGUCGCUGAAAAUGUUCGCUGUACGUUUGAACAGCUGUCACAUUUAUACGCACGGUUAAGCCGCCCGCCGGUUAAUCCGCCUCCGGAUAAUCGACCUUGUACUGUAUGUUGUGUCUCAUUAUGCACGGACAUUUUGAUCUUCAAAAAUGGUAGUCUAAAAGCUGCCAUGGUGUUUGAAAACUAAAAUGGCAAAGCUAUGAUUCAUUAGGAGCACACCUUGUUUUGAACAUAACAGGGGAUUAUUCUGUCAUAAUAAGGCGCGUUUGUUUUUAUUCUGCUUCUCAUUGUUUUGGAUAUCCCUGUCCUUGGCCUUAAUCUGCUCCUAUAAGUGUUUCUCUUUAUCAUUCCGACCUGCUGAAAAUCCAUCUGUGAAGAAACUUUUUUAAGCGAUAAGUGUUUCAACAAAACGGAAUACCUUACCGAUGUUGUAUGAGUGAAGCAUAAGCUAUAAUCGGGUGUUGUGAUGUGGUGCUAGCAAACUGACCGAAAAGAGAUGCGGGAACAUUUGUGGUGAUAUAUUUACUUCUAUGGAACCGUGUUGCUAUAUGAUUUUAUUGUCAGAUAAAGUGACUGCCUUGAUCUUGUGAGAAAUCUACAUAUUUACGGAGCACCUUUCAUUUGUUCUAAAACUUAGACGAGUUUCUAAAAACAACUGCGCGUCAAAAAUUGUCACGGAGAACUCCAGAUAUGGCAGAUGCAAACAAGAUUACUGAAUCAGACAAUGCAAAAAGCAGCAACGCAUCGUCACAAAAUCAAGAAGGAAGCUACUCUGCUGCAAUUACCAGUUCAACAUCAACUGACGCGAAUUCCCGUUCACGCGUUGUUAUAAAACCAGCAAUUUUGGCUGUGCAAAAAAAGUUGCUAGCUUCAUCCAGAUCCGAUGCAAUUCCAUCACAAUCACGUUCCAUUUCACCAAACCCUCCUAGAACACCGAAACGUUCUCCACCUUCUUUAUCCAACAGUGAUUUUUCAAACCAUGCACCAGCUCGCCAAAAACCUGCACUGCCACCCAAACCUAAAUGGAUAAAUCCAGCUGAAGCAGCUCCAUCAACCUCUUUGCCUUUUUCCGGUUUAUCACAGCAGGAAAGAAUAGAACAAAAAAUAGAUAUGGUCGUUAAAAUGCUACAAGAACUGGCUCCACAGCUAGAAAUCAUUAUGAACAAUGUGGAAAGAGACAAUUUUAAUUUGUUAUUAGAAAUGGAAGAAGAUUAAAAAAUUAAUAGUAAAUUUUGUUAGACAAACAGUUGCCAUAAGCUUAAAUAGAGGGUCACCAGCAAUUGAAAUGGAUCAGAUAUUAAACAUACGGGUAUCUCUAGACUAAGAAAUAAAAAAAAUUCUUCUUGUUCAGAAAAA